GAUGAACGCUGGCGGCGUGCCUAAUACAUGCAAGUCGAGCGAACGGACGAGAAGCUUGCUUCUCUGAUGUUAGCGGCGGACGGGUGUGUAACACGUGUAUAACCUACCUAUCAGACUGGGAUAUCUUCGAGAAACCGGAGCUAAUACCGUAUAAUCUUUUGAACCGCAUGGUUCAAAAGUGAAAGACGGUCUUGCUGUCACUUAUCGAUGGAUCCGCGCUGCAUUAGCUAGUUGGUAAGGUAACGGCUUACCAAGGCAACGAUGCAUAGCCGACCUGAGAGGGGGAUAGGCGGCAUUGGAAGUGAGACGCGGACCAGACGCCUGAGGGAGGGAGCAGAAGCGAAUGUUCCGCAAUGGGGGAAAGCCUUACGGAGCGACGCCGAGUCAGUGAUGAAGGUCUUCGGAUCGUAAAAAUGGGUUAUGAGGGAAGAACAUAUGUGGCAGUAACUGUGCAGAUAGUGACGGUAACUAAUCAGAAAGCAACGGCUAACUACGUG
This 497-nucleotide ribosomal RNA is filed under the name uncultured bacterium. Its description in RNAcentral is "partial 16S ribosomal RNA". It matches the Rfam family "Bacterial small subunit ribosomal RNA", at positions 28 to 507 of the family's 1533-position model. The record is from RNAcentral.